CUGAGGUGGCGACCGGCGCACGGGUGAGUAACACGUAUGCAACCUGCCUGUAAGCGGGGAAGUAACCCGUUUCGAAAGAACGGACGUAAUAACCGCAUAAUACUAAAUUACUGCAUGGUAAUUUAUUUAAACAUUUAUGGCUUACAGAUGGGCAUGCGCAUGAUUAGCUAGUUGGAGAGGUAACGGCUCCCCAAGGCAACGAUCAUUAGGGGUUCUGAGAGGAAGGUCCCCCACACUGGUACUGAGACACGGACCAGACUCCUACGGGAGGCAGCAGUAGGGAAUCUUCCGCAAUGGACGAAAGUCUGGCGGAGCAACGCCGCGUGAGUGAAGAAGGGUUUUUUCCGGAUCGUAAAACUCUGUUGUCAGAGAAGAACAAGUUGGAGAGUAACUGCUCCAGCCUUGACGGUAUCUGACCAGAAAGCCACGGCUAACUAUGUGCCAGCAGCCGC
RNAcentral lists this ribosomal RNA (452 nucleotides) under uncultured bacterium. RNAcentral's name for it is "bacterial SSU rRNA". It matches the Rfam family "Bacterial small subunit ribosomal RNA", at positions 83 to 518 of the family's 1533-position model. The record is from RNAcentral.